UGAGAAGUUCACAAGUAUCCUAAACAGUGA
RNAcentral lists this non-coding RNA (30 nucleotides) under Rattus norvegicus (Norway rat). Lineage: Eukaryota; Metazoa; Chordata; Mammalia; Rodentia; Muridae. The record is from RNAcentral.